GAGAAGUUGAAAAUGGCAGGCGUGAAGUCUAACAAUGCUCCUUAUUUAAAACUUCAUUUCUUUUAAAUUAAGUGAACAUAAUUGUCAGCAUGUAUUGUCAUUCCAACCCUCCCCCCAAACCCCACCCUUUUGGAUGAGUAAAAGGUUUUCUCCACCUUUUCAGCUUAUUUGCUGCUCAUGGGACCAUAGAUUAAAAAGCCAUAAGACCACAAAUAAAGCUCCUCUAUGUAUUAGAGCAAAAAAGCCAUAGACCAUAGAUUAAAAAUGAAACAAGCAACAUACCAGUUCAUUCUGAUUUUGAAA
Molecule: unclassified non-coding RNA, 303 nt
Filed under: Hevea brasiliensis (rubber tree)
Lineage: Eukaryota; Viridiplantae; Streptophyta; Magnoliopsida; Malpighiales; Euphorbiaceae
Source: RNAcentral